This 1525-nucleotide long non-coding RNA is filed under the name Equus caballus (horse). RNAcentral describes it as "lncRNA (ENSECAG00000051869.1)". The record is from RNAcentral. Lineage: Eukaryota; Metazoa; Chordata; Mammalia; Perissodactyla; Equidae.
AAAACAGGGAGAGUAUCCCGGAUUAUCCAGGUGGUAUCAGUGGAAUCAUAAGGCUCUUUAGAAGUGUGGGGGGCGGAGCAGAAGAGGUCAGAGUGGUGUGACAUGAGGACUCCAACUGUUAUUGCCAGUUUAGAAGGUGAAGGAAGGGGCCACAAACCAAGGAGUGGGGCAGCCUCUAGAUGCUGGAAAAGGCAAGGAAACAGAUUCUUCCCUAGAGCCCCCAGCAGGAACCGAGCACUGCUGACACCUCGAUACCAGCCCAUUGAGACUCAUGCGGAACCUCCUCGAACCUACAGAGCUUUAAGGAAACCGUAUAGAACCUAUUUUGUGCUCACAAAGACUGGUUGUAAGAGAAAAAGUGAAAUGCACGUAAUCACACAUAUUGAAAAUAAAUACUUUGCAAGUGCUUGGAUUAACUGAAUUCAAUUUACAAAGAAGAUGAGCACUUUGAAUGAAAACAUAUAAUUGAAGAUUAGCCCUGAGCUAACAUCUGCCACCAAUCCUCCUCUUUUUGCUGAAGAAGACUGGCCCUGAGCUAACAUGUGUGCCCAUCUUCCUCUACUUUCUAUGUAGGACGCCUACCACAGCAUGGCUUGCCAAGUGGUGCCGUGUCCGCACCAGGGAUCCGAACUGGCGAACCCCAGGCCUCUAAAGCAGAACGUGCGAACUUAACCGCUGCACCACAGGGCCAGCCCCUGAAUUAACUUUUAGUUUCCUGAUAGGAAUAGAAGUGCACAACUUAGCCACAUUCUUUCCAGCUUCUAGUUCACAUUGUUAUUUUCAAAAUCAUCCUCCCAUCUUCACCCUCACACCCCUAAAUACGUAUGUAACAGAAGCAGUAUAUUUUAACUUUCCCCUUCUGUCAUAUUUUCGUUUCAUCCAAUCUCCGACUCUUGUGUGCAACACUCUCCAAGUUCUGCGCUCAGGGUCUGAUUCUGUUUUAACCACCCACAUCGAGAGAACUCCCUUCUUCCCAUGGCUGUGCUGUUGCCCUCCUUGAGGGAGAGCACACGGACCAUAUGAGGAGCUCAUGCAUGGCGAGCUGACCUGGAGCUCUCUGUAGCUUUCCAGUCCUCCACCCUCAAGACCGUGUGCAUUUUUCUGAAGACUGACGGGACACCAUAGCAGUAAAAGCAGGCAUGGUGACUCAUGUCAGCAGGGAGAGAUUUCUACUAAAUUAAAAAACCAUUGUUAAAGGGAGAUGUUCAUCAACUGAUGCAUGGAUAAACAAUAUGGUGCAUCCAUACAAUGGAAUAUUAUUUGGCCAUAAAAGGAAUGAAGUACUAAUAGAUGCUACAACAUGGGUGGACUUGAAAACAUGCUCAGUGAAGGAAGUCAGUCAUAAAACGAUGGUAUUGUCUGAUUCCAUUUACAUGAAAGGUCUAUAAUAGGCAAAUCCACACAGACACAGAAGGUAGAUGAGUAGUUGCCUAGGGUUGGGGAUGCAUGAGAAAGGUUAGAGCAGAUGACUAAGGGAGGCAGAGCUUUUUAGGAGUGAUGAAAAUGUUCUAAAAUUGAUUAUAAU